GAUGAACGCUGGCGGCGUGCCUAAUACAUGCAAGUCGAGCGAACGGACGAGAAGCUUGCUUCUCUGAUGUUAGCGGCGGACGGGUGAGUAACACGUUGAUAACCUACAUAUAAGACUGGGAUAACUUCGGGAAACCGGAGCUAAUACCGGAUAAUAUUUUGAACCGCAUGGUUCAAAAGUGAAAGACGGUCUUGCUGUCACUUAUAGAUGGAUCCGCGCUGCAUUAGCUAGUUGGUAAGGUAACGGCUUACCAAGGCAACGAUGCAUAGCCGACCUGAGAGGGUGAUCGGCCACACUGGAACUGAGACACGCUCCAGACUCCUACGGGAGGCAGCAGUAGGGAAUCUUCCGCAAAGGGCGAAAGCCUGCCGGAGCAACGCCGCGUGAGUGAUGAAGGUCCUCUGAUCGUAAAACUCUGUUAUUAGGGAAGAACAUAUGUGUAAGUAACUGUGCACAUCUUGACGGUACCUAAUCAGAAAGCCACGGCUAACUACGUG
This 497-nucleotide ribosomal RNA is filed under the name uncultured bacterium. Its description in RNAcentral is "partial 16S ribosomal RNA". It matches the Rfam family "Bacterial small subunit ribosomal RNA", at positions 28 to 507 of the family's 1533-position model. The record is from RNAcentral.